CGGCACGCCUAAUACAUGCAAGUCGAACGAAGUAGCAAUACUUAGUGGCAGACGGGUGAGUAACAUGUGGGUAUCUUCCCUUUGGUGAGGAAUAACACGAGGAAACUUGUGCUAAUACCUCAUAAGUCUUUACGGAGAAAGCUUUAUGCGCCAUUGGAUGAGCCCGCACUUGAUUAGUUUGUUGGUGGGGUAAUGGCUCACCAAGACAAUGAUCAAUAGCUGAUUUGAGAGGAUGAUCAGCCACAUUGGGACUGAGACACGGCCCAAACUCCUACGGGAGGCAGCAGUAGGGAAUCUUGCACAAUGGAGGAAACUCUGAUGCAGCGAUGCCGCGUGAGUGAAGAAGGCCCUUGGGUUGUAAAGCUCUUUCGUCGGGGAAGAAAAUGACUGUACCCGAAUAAGAAGGUCCG
This 410-nucleotide ribosomal RNA is filed under the name uncultured bacterium. Its description in RNAcentral is "bacterial SSU rRNA". It matches the Rfam family "Bacterial small subunit ribosomal RNA", at positions 40 to 495 of the family's 1533-position model. The record is from RNAcentral.